AAAUUUAGGUUAACACAAACCAGGGACCUUCAAAGCCCCAAAUAGGACCCCAAUCCUAAUUUCUG
Molecule: transfer RNA, 65 nt
Filed under: Luperosaurus joloensis (Taylor's wolf gecko)
Lineage: Eukaryota; Metazoa; Chordata; Lepidosauria; Squamata; Gekkonidae
Description: tRNA-Trp
Source: RNAcentral